This 384-nucleotide ribosomal RNA is filed under the name uncultured bacterium. Its description in RNAcentral is "bacterial SSU rRNA". It matches the Rfam family "Bacterial small subunit ribosomal RNA", at positions 30 to 416 of the family's 1533-position model. The record is from RNAcentral.
AUUGAACGCUGGCGGAAUGCUUUACACAUGCAAGUCGAGCGGCAGCGCGGGGCAACCUGGCGGCGAGCGGCGAACGGGUGAGUAAUGUAUCGGAACGUAUCCUUAAGUGGGGGACAACUAGUCGAAAGACUAGCUAAUACCGCAUACGAUCGAGAGAUGAAAGUGGGGGACCGCAAGGCCUCACGCUUUUGGAGCGGCCGAUAUCCGAUUAGCUUGUUGGUGAGGUAAAGGCUUACCAAGGCUAUGAUCGGUAGCUGGUCUGAGAGGAUGAUCAGCCACACUGGGACUGAGACACGGCCCAGACUCCUACGGGAGGCAGCAGUGGGGAAUUUUGGACAAUGGGGGCAACCCUGAUCCAGCCAUUCCGCGUGAGUGAAGAAGGCC